ACACGUAGGGGGCGAGCGUUGUCCGGAAUUACUGGGCGUAAAGAGCGCGUAGGUGGUUAGGUAAGUCAGGUGUGAAAGGCCAGGGCUCAACUCUGGGACUGCACUUGAAACUGUUUAACUUGAGAGUAGGAGAGGUAAGUGGAAUUCCUGGUGUAGCGGUGAAAUGCGUAGAUAUCAGGAGGAACACCAGUGGCGAAAGCGACUUACUGGCCUAGCUCUGACACUGAGGCGCGAAAGCGUGGGGAGCGAACAGGAUUAGAUACCCUGGUAGUCCACGCCGUAAACGAUGGGUACUAGGUGUAGGAGGUAUCGACCCCUUCUGUGCCGCAGCAAACGCAUUAAGUACCCCGCCUGGGGAGUACGGCCGCAAGGUUGAA
This 377-nucleotide ribosomal RNA is filed under the name uncultured bacterium. RNAcentral describes it as "bacterial SSU rRNA". It matches the Rfam family "Bacterial small subunit ribosomal RNA", at positions 523 to 898 of the family's 1533-position model. The record is from RNAcentral.